AAGCUGCUCAAUAGAAAAACCUGAUUUAAUUUACAAACAUUCAUCCCACACACUUCAGGAACAAUUAUUCAAGGAACUGAAGUGUACCUGGAUUGCCUUUAAUUUAUGAAUAAUCAAACAUUUGGGAGGAAAAGAGAAAGUACAUUCCUAAUAUCAUUUGAUAUAAAAGUAACUACUCUCUAAAUACCAGAGUCAGGUUACUCAAUGUUGCAUGUAGAAGAAUAUAAACUUAAACUAUCAAUUUUCUUCUAUAUAAUUCACCCAAAUUAUAUUAAACUGAAAUUUUAAAAAAUCCUUGUAACAUUGAGUAACACCAAGGUUUGUGGCAACCUUGAGUCAAACAAAUCUAUGGGAGUCAUUUUUCCAACAGCACAUGUGCUCACUCUGUGUCUCUGUCACAUUUUGGUAAUUCAGGAUUUCAAAGAUUUUCAUUACUUAUGAUAUAUGGUGAUCUGUGAUCAGGGAUCUGUGAUGUUAUUUACUAUUGUAAUUGUUUUGGGGCACCACAAACCGUGCCCACAUGAGACAGCAAACUUGCUGGAUAAAUGCUGGAUGUGUUCUGACUGCUCCACCAGCCAGCCCUUCCUCUACCCCCUCCCUCUCCUUGGGCCUCUCUAUUUUCGGAGACAUGAGAACAUUGAAAUUAGGCCAAUUUGUAACCCUACAAUGGCCUCUAAGUGUUUGAGUGAAAGGAAGAAUUGCAGGUCUUUCACUUUAACCCAAAAGCUAGAAAUGAUUAAGCUUAGUGAGGAAGGCAUGUGAAAAGCUGACACAGGCCAAGAGCGAGGCCUCUUGCACCGGACAGUUAGCCGAGUUGUGGAUGCCAAGGACAAGUUCAUGAAGGAAACUUAAGGUGCGACUCCAGUGAACCACAAGGAAGCACACAGCCCUACUGCUGAGAAGGAGAAAGUUUGAGUGGUCUGGACAGAAGAUCAAACCAGCCACAACAUUCCCUUAAGCCAAAGCCUAAUCCAGAGCAAGGCCCUAACUCUCUUCAAUUCUGUGAAGGCCGAGAGAGGUGAAGAAGCUGCAGAAGAAAAGCUGGAAACCAGCAGAGGAUGGUUCACGAGGUUUAGGGAAAGAAACCAUCUCUGUAACAUAAAAAGCACAAGGUGAAGCAGCAGGUGCUGAUGGAGAAGCUGCAGCAAGUUCUCCAGGGGAUCUGGCUGAGACCAUCGAUGAAGGUGGCCACACUAAAUAACAGAUUUUCAACAUAGACCAAGAGCUUUCUAUUGGAAGAAGAUGCCAUCUAGGAGUUUCCUAGCUAGCAGGCAGUCAAUGUCUGGCUUCAAAGCUUCAAAGGACAGGCUGACUCUCUUGUUCAGGGAUAAUGCAGCUGGUGACUUCAAGUUGAAGCCAGUGCUCAUGUGCUAUUCUGAAAAUCCCAGGGCCCUUAAGAAUGAUGCUAAAUCUCCUCUGCCUGUGCUCUAGAAAUGCAACAACAAAGCCUGGAUGACAGCACUUCUGUUUACAACAUGGUUUACUGAAUAUUUUAAGCCCACACGUAAGACCUACUGCUACUGCUCAGAAAAAAAGAUUCUUUUCAAAAUAUUCCUGCUCAUUGACAAUGCACCUGGUCACCCAAGAGCUCUGACAGAGACACACAAAGAGACAAAUGCUGUUUCCAUACCUGCUAACACAACCUGUAGUCAGCAGUCUAAAUUACAAGGAGUAAUAAGACUUUCAAGUCUUAUUUAAGAAUAUUCUUGGGUGACAGAGCGAUACUCCGUCUCAAAAAAAAAAAAA
This is a long non-coding RNA of Macaca fascicularis (crab-eating macaque), 1746 nucleotides long. NCBI's taxonomy places the organism in Eukaryota, Metazoa, Chordata, Mammalia, Primates, Cercopithecidae. The record is from Ensembl.